GAGGGUACAGCUCAGCGGUAGAGCGCAUGCUUAGCAUGCACAAGGCCCCGGGUUCAAUCCCCAGUAGCUCCA
This 72-nucleotide transfer RNA is filed under the name Camelus bactrianus (Bactrian camel). It matches the Rfam family "tRNA". Rfam says of the family: Transfer RNA (tRNA) molecules are approximately 80 nucleotides in length. Their secondary structure includes four short double-helical elements and three loops (D, anti-codon, and T loops). Lineage: Eukaryota; Metazoa; Chordata; Mammalia; Artiodactyla; Camelidae. The record is from Rfam by way of RNAcentral. RNAcentral also lists the same sequence under 2 other names.